AAUCUUCGGCAAUGGGCGCAAGCCUGACCGAGCGACGCCGCGUGUGCGAUGAAGGCCUUCGGGUUGUAAAGCACUGUCGAGGGGGAGAAAGCCGCAAGGUUGAUCGACCCCUGGAGGAAGCACGGGCUAAGUUCGUGCCAGCAGCCGCGGUAAGACGAACCGUGCGAACGUUGUUCGGAAUCACUGGGCUUAAAGGGCGCGUAGGCGGGCUGGCAAGUCAGAGGUGAAAGCCUGCGGCUCAACCGCAGAAGUGCCUUUGAUACUGUCGGUCUCGAGGGAGGUAGGGGCAUGUGGAACUUCCGGUGGAGCGGUGAAAUGCGUAGAUAUCGGAAGGAACGCCGGUGGCGAAAGCGACGUGCUGGACCUCUACUGACGCUGAGGCGCGAAAGCCAGGGGAGCAAACGGG
Molecule: ribosomal RNA, 406 nt
Filed under: uncultured bacterium
Lineage: Bacteria
Description: partial 16S ribosomal RNA
Rfam family: Bacterial small subunit ribosomal RNA
Source: RNAcentral